Molecule: ribosomal RNA, 2829 nt
Filed under: Klebsiella pneumoniae
Lineage: Bacteria; Pseudomonadati; Pseudomonadota; Gammaproteobacteria; Enterobacterales; Enterobacteriaceae
Description: bacterial LSU rRNA
Rfam family: Bacterial large subunit ribosomal RNA
Source: RNAcentral
UUAAGCGACUAAGCGUACACGGUGGAUGCCCUGGCAGUCAGAGGCGAUGAAGGACGUGCUAAUCUGCGAAAAGCGUCGGUAAGGUGAUAUGAACCGUUACAGCCGGCGAUGUCCGAAUGGGGAAACCCAGUGCAAUUCGUUGCACUAUCGUUAACUGAAUACAUAGGUUAACGAGGCGAACCGGGGGAACUGAAACAUCUAAGUACCCCGAGGAAAAGAAAUCAACCGAGAUUCCCCCAGUAGCGGCGAGCGAACGGGGAGCAGCCCAGAGUCUGAAUCAGCUUGUGUGUUAGUGGAACGGUCUGGAAAGUCCGACGGUACAGGGUGAUAGUCCCGUACACCAAAAUGCACAGGCUGUGAACUCGAAGAGUAGGGCGGGACACGUGGUAUCCUGUCUGAAUAUGGGGGGACCAUCCUCCAAGGCUAAAUACUCCUGACUGACCGAUAGUGAACCAGUACCGUGAGGGAAAGGCGAAAAGAACCCCGGCGAGGGAGUGAAAAGAACCUGAAACCGUGUACGUACAAGCAGUGGGAGCACCUUCGGGUGUGACUGCGUACCUUUGUAUAAUGGGUCAGCGACUUAUAUUCUGUAGCAAGGUUAACCGUAUAGGGAGCCGCAGGGAAACCGAGUCUUAACUGGGCGUUAAGUUGCAGGUAUAGACCCGAAACCCGGUGAUCAGCCAUGGGCAGGUUGAAGGUUGGGUAACACUAACUGGAGGACCGAACCGACUAAUGUUGAAAAAUUAGCGGAUGACUUGUGGCUGGGGGUGAAAGGCCAAUCAAACCGGGAGAUAGCUGGUUCUCCCCGAAAGCUAUUUAGGUAGCGCCUCGUGAAUUCAUCUUCGGGGGUAGAGCACUGUUUCGGCUAGGGGUCAUCCGACUUACCAACCCGAUGCAAACUACGAAUACCGAAGAAUGUUAUCACGGGAGACACACGGCGGGUGCUAACGUCCCAAAGUCGUGAAGAAAACAACCCAGACCGUGGUCCCAAACAGACAGAUGUUGGCUUAGAAGCAGCCAUCAUUUAAAGAAAGCGUAAUAGCUCACUGGUCGAGUCGGCCUGCGCGGAAGAUGUAACGGGCUAAACCAUGCACCGAAGCUGCGGCAGCGACACUAUGUGUUGUUGGGGAGCGUUCUGUAAGCCUGCGAAGGUGUGCUGUGAGGCAUGCUGGAGGUAUCAGAAGUGCGAAUGCUGACAUAAGUAACGAUAAAGCGGGUGAAAAGCCCGCUCGCCGGAAGACCAAGGGUUCCUGUCCAACGUUAAUCGGGCAGGGUGAGUCGACCCAAGGCGAGGCCGAAAGGCGUAGUCGAUGGGAAACAGGUUAAUAUUCCUGUACUUGGUGUUACUGCGAAGGGGGGACGGAGAAGGCUAUGUUAGCCGGGCGACGGUUGUCCCGGUUUAAGCAUGUAGGCUGGUUAUCCAGGCAAAUCCGGAUAAUCAAGGCUGAGGUGUGAUGACGAGGCACUACGGUGCUGAAGUAACAAAUGCCCUGCUUCCAGGAAAAGCCUCUAAGCAUCAGGUAACAUCAAAUCGUACCCCAAACCGACACAGGUGGUCAGGUAGAGAAUACCAAGGCGCUUGAGAGAACUCGGGUGAAGGAACUAGGCAAAAUGGUGCCGUAACUUCGGGAGAAGGCACGCUGGUGUGUAGGUGAAGUCCCUGCGGAUGGAGCUGAGACCAGUCGAAGAUACCAGCUGGCUGCAACUGUUUAUUAAAAACACAGCACUGUGCAAACACGAAAGUGGACGUAUACGGUGUGACGCCUGCCCGGUGCCGGAAGGUUAAUUGAUGGGGUUAUCCGUAAGGAGAAGCUCUUGAUCGAAGCCCCGGUAAACGGCGGCCGUAACUAUAACGGUCCUAAGGUAGCGAAAUUCCUUGUCGGGUAAGUUCCGACCUGCACGAAUGGCGUAAUGAUGGCCAGGCUGUCUCCACCCGAGACUCAGUGAAAUUGAACUCGCUGUGAAGAUGCAGUGUACCCGCGGCAAGACGGAAAGACCCCGUGAACCUUUACUAUAGCUUGACACUGAACAUUGAGCCUUGAUGUGUAGGAUAGGUGGGAGGCUUUGAAGCGUGGACGCCAGUCUGCGUGGAGCCAACCUUGAAAUACCACCCUUUAAUGUUUGAUGUUCUAACGUUGGCCCCUUACCGGGGUUGCGGACAGUGUCUGGUGGGUAGUUUGACUGGGGCGGUCUCCUCCCAAAGCGUAACGGAGGAGCACGAAGGUUAGCUAAUCCUGGUCGGACAUCAGGAGGUUAGUGCAAUGGCAUAAGCUAGCUUGACUGCGAGCGUGACGGCGCGAGCAGGUGCGAAAGCAGGUCAUAGUGAUCCGGUGGUUCUGAAUGGAAGGGCCAUCGCUCAACGGAUAAAAGGUACUCCGGGGAUAACAGGCUGAUACCGCCCAAGAGUUCAUAUCGACGGCGGUGUUUGGCACCUCGAUGUCGGCUCAUCACAUCCUGGGGCUGAAGUAGGUCCCAAGGGUAUGGCUGUUCGCCAUUUAAAGUGGUACGCGAGCUGGGUUUAGAACGUCGUGAGACAGUUCGGUCCCUAUCUGCCGUGGGCGCUGGAGAAUUGAGGGGGCUGCUCCUACGAGAGGACCGGAGUGGACGCAUCACUGGUGUUCGGGUUGUCAUGCCAAUGGCACUGCCCGGUAGCUAAAUGCGGAAGAGAUAAGUGCUGAAAGCAUCUAAGCACGAAACUUGCCCGAGAUGAGUUCUCCUGAGACUUUAAGUCUCCUGAAGGAACGUUGAAGACGACGACGUUGAUAGGCCGGGUGUAAGCGCAGCGAUGCGUUGAGCUAACCGGUACUAAUGAACCGUGAGGCUUAACCU